Molecule: ribosomal RNA, 478 nt
Filed under: uncultured soil bacterium
Lineage: Bacteria
Description: bacterial SSU rRNA
Rfam family: Bacterial small subunit ribosomal RNA
Source: RNAcentral
AGAAUGAACGUUGGCGGCGUGGAUUAGGCAUGCGAGUCGCGCGAGAAUGUAGCAAUACAGGAAAGCGGCGAAAGGGAGAGGAAUAGGUGGGAAUCUGCCCCUGGGUCGGGGAUAGCUACGGGAAACUGUAGGUAAUACCCGAUAACGUCGAAAGACCAAAGGUGUGAUUCCGUCUGGGGAUGAGCCCACCUCCUAUUAGCUAGUUGUUAAGGUAAUGGCCUAACAAGGCAUUGAUGGGUAGCUGGUGUGAGAGCACGACCAGCCUCACUGGCACUGAGACACUGGCCAGACACCUACGGGUGGCUGCAGUCGAGAAUCUUCGGCAAUGGACGAAAGUCUGACCGAGCGACGCCGCGUGUGGGAUGAAGGCCGUUCGGUUGUAAACCGCUGUCGUAGAGAGUACGAGUAGUAGUAGGGUACUCCCUGUAUUGAGAGAUCCUAGGAGGAAGGAGAGGCGUAAGCGUCGUGCAGCAGCCGC